GACGAACGCUGGCGGCGUGCUUAACACAUGCGAGUCGAACGGAAAGGCCCUGCUUGCAGGGUACUCGAGUGGCGAACGGGUGAGUAACACGUGGGUGAUCUGCCCUGCACUUCGGGAUAAGCUUGGGAAACUGGGUCUAAUACCGGAUAGGAGCCAUCUUUAGUGUGGUGGUUGGAAAGUUUUUUCGGUGUAGGAUGAGCUCGCGGCCUAUCAGCUUGUUGGUGGGGUAAUGGCCUACCAAGGCGGCGACGGGUAGCCGGCCUGAGAGGGUGUACGGCCACAUUGGGACUGAGAUACGGCCCAGACUCCUACGGGAGGCAGCAGUGGGGAAUAUUGCCCAAUGGGCGCAAGCCUGAUGCAGCGACGCCGCGUGGGGGAUGAAGGCCUUCGGGUUGUAAACUCCUUUCGCUAGGGACGAAGCUUUUUUGUGACGGUACCUAGAUAAGAAGCACCGGCUAACUACGUG
Molecule: ribosomal RNA, 466 nt
Filed under: uncultured bacterium
Lineage: Bacteria
Description: partial 16S ribosomal RNA
Rfam family: Bacterial small subunit ribosomal RNA
Source: RNAcentral